Molecule: long non-coding RNA, 7124 nt
Organism: Salvelinus fontinalis (brook trout)
Lineage: Eukaryota; Metazoa; Chordata; Actinopteri; Salmoniformes; Salmonidae
Exons: 5
Source: RefSeq, a predicted model, not a curated record
GAUCAGGAUAUAGGGAGCCACUGUCUGGCAGGGCCACUGAUGCAGGCAGUUGAAUUUCUAUCCGUUUCUAAACUAUACCGUCUUUGGUUCCAUUCUCGUGUGGAUAGCUAAGUGAGGUCUGCGCUCCAGCUUGCUUGUUUUUUUCUUUCACCGCUGUGCACACACACACACAAUGAUAUUUGGCUAAAUGAUUUCAGUGGUAACGGGGCAUGCUUAGUCAAUGCAAUGAUACAAAUGAUGGAGUGUCAUUCCAGAAGUUCUUAAAAGCUGCAAAACACUCACUAGCAGGGUAGAUGGCUAUGCUAACGAGCUAUCUAGCUGAUAGCUUUAGCGUUCAUCACAGGUUUGUUUAAUGGUGCAUUCGAGUUAAUUCUAGUGAUAUGGCACAUAGGAAACAAGUAUUCCAGUCUAAGGUUCUUCAGAGGCUGUACCUUACCUCCCAGGCCUGCGAAAGAAUCCAGCUCUCCACUCGCUGAGACCACUGUGAAACAAAAAGUAGGCCUAGAGGAGGAGGGCACUAUCACUGGAGAUAGAGGGAUAACACUAUCCCCAGCCAGGCAGACGAGUAUACACAGUCCUAGCUCCCCCUGCAGACUACAAGACGAGUGCAGAGGGAUCUGUCACGCCUUCAGCCAGCAUGCAUAAAUACUGUGGAGUUGUUGAGAACACUCAUGAGUCCAACAAAGAUGAAGAGGUAGAAGAAGACGAUGGAGGAAGAAGAAAAAGAAAUGGGAACUAUAGCUCCUGGAGGUGGGACAGUGGUGGACGGAGCGGGCCAGGUUACAGAAUCCAACCCUGGGGACCCCCAUGGAGGAAGGAGUGUGGCUCAACUAGAAGAGGAGGACGCAACGUCAUCAACAGAAGCUCUUGUCUCUGGGUCUGGUGCCCCGUGCUGCAGCUCGAGUUCACCUUCGAGAGCGAGGGGGAGCGGAGGGGGGGGGAAGAGAUGAGGCAGAGAAGAGCAGCUGAAGUGAUAAUCUUCCUCAGGACCACACAAGAUCUACGUGUCUGAUUGUGAGUGUGACGUACCAGGGCUGCUAAUCAACCCAGAUACGGUCACAUAUAGCCUAAGCUGUGUUUCAGUCUUCCUAAGAGCUGGCCAAAAGUGCUGAAGCAUAGUUCAUUUUAUAGCUUUCGGAUUGGCAGAAAAUAAAUAAUUUGAACAGCACUGUGCAGAGCACACGCAAAUUGAAAGUGAAAGCACAUCUCAUUAAUCACUAGCCUAUAACAACUUGAGGACCUUGAGAGAUUUAGGAAUCGAGGUGUAGAGGUUUGGGUUUACUUCAUCAUGCUCAAAUGUAAUGGACAGGCUCAGUCAUCUGGUCUGUCAUAAUCCCUCCUUGACUUGCCUCUGGAGGACUAGACAGACAGUCAGUCAGUCCAAAGAAUCCCAUUGGUUCCAGGGAUUAAGGUUUCUCUGUUGGUGAAUUACUGUGGAAGGCUAAGGAGGAAGACCUCUGGAAAUGUCCACAGUAGUUCAGUUAAAGGGGCCAGAUGCUCCUGUUCCUUUAAUGCACCUCAGUCUAGAGAUAGACCAGGUGAUUAGACACAGGCCCAUUCAGCAACGGAGCUUAUAAUGGUUGGUGGAGUAAUAGUAUACUUACUCCACUACCAAGCAGGUUCAUCUGGUAGUGGAGGGCCUUCUGACCAGCCUGUACAAUGGAACAUUCCCCCCUGCUGUUUUUGCCCAGCUCCACAGCCUCUAGUCCCUGGUGCAGCAACAGGACACAGCAAGGAUGGCAAAGGAUCUGCAGGAGCUCCAGAACAGCUCUACCAUGUCUACUGGUGAUGCCACUGCAGUUGUGUCCCUGUUUCAGUAUUGGAUCACAGACAUCCCGCCCAUGCAGAGAGAAUGGAAAACAGGCCAACCAACAACACAGCCUUAGACUUUCCUAGAUGUUCAGGGUUUUAAACAAUACUGCUGACGGAAAACAUGUCUGACUCUUUCAUUCACUGAUUCAUUGUGAGCCCAUGUAACGGAGUUAAGUACAUACCGUAAGCUCACUUCACAGCUAGCUUGAAAUGUUGCGGGUGGAGCCAUCCAAUCGGUACCUUUUGGGUGGCUCAAACCGUUGGAAUGUUGUCAAGGAGGGAGGCCACGUGUGUUAUCAAAGCAGAGGUCCCGAGUUCGAGCCAGGUACGAGCCGAAUCGGGGAGGUGAUACCAGACAAAAUUAAUUAACCGUUUAAUGGAUUUUUCCCACAGAAAAGUGAGGCGAGCAAGUGUUUUAUUUUUGUUUUUUAUAAAUGAAAACAUUAAGUGGAUAAGGAAUAACAGUACUUUACCACAUUGUCCUAUGCACCUGUGCGAGCUCUAGGCCUAGUGUGAGAUUCAAGAGUUAUAUUAUUCCAUGUGAAAACCUACACUAUUUUUCUUAAAAAGAAUGCAGAUGUUACAAUGUUGUUAUAACCAUGAGAAAUGAAACGCACUAAAGUAUAACUUGUGACAGUUUCGUUAUUCCUGAUCAAAAAAGUGAUCUCUGAUAUACACAAUCGUUCAAAAGUUUGGGGUCACUUAGAAAUGUCCUUGUUUUUGAAAGAAAAGCACUUUUUUUUUGGUCCAUUAAAAUAACAUCAAAUUGAUCAGAAAUACAGUGUAGACAUUGUUAAUGUUAUAAAUGACUAUUGUAGCUGGAAACGGCACAUUUUUCUUUUAAAGGAAUAUCUACAUAGCCGUACAGAGGCCCAUUAUCAGCAACCAUUGUCGUGGAGAAUCAUCUCAGAAAUAUAACACUCUUACAAGAACUUGUGAAUUCAAUAAAGACUUUAAUACAAAGUAGCAAAGCCGAGCCCCUCCAUGGAAAGAGACUAAAUUCUCAUAUUACAGAGUCCUGCCUUUAUAGGAUUCUGUCUUUGCAUAACAUAUAGAGUCCCCUCCCUCUAUAUGAAAAUAGCUUCCCUUGACUUUUCUCUAUGAUUAUCUUUCCAUCUCAGAGCUUGCUUGUUCACGCCCACUAACGCUCAUAUCUGUUUUUGGUUAGGUUAUAACGACGACAGAACCCUUUUCACGUCCUAAAAUAAUCUAUGCAUUGCAUGCUUAUGUUUUACGUGUUAGUCAUCAGUUAUCUUGCUUCCAUCUUUCUUCCUGUAUCCUGCUGACCAUAGUAUGUCCAGCUGUCAUAAAUGUACGUGUGGUCUUGGUUAAUGUACUCUUUCAAAAAUAGAGUAUAGCCUGGGUGUCAUCUUCUCUUAAUGUGCAUGUCCUUGCUACUUCAUCCUAGCAACUAGACCUACUCGUAUUUAAUGCUCAGCUCUCCUCAAUGAUUUGCUACAACACCAUCACUCCUGUGUUCCAAUGGCACAUUGUGUUAGCUAAUCUAAGUUUAUCAUUUUAAAAGGCUAAUUGAUCAUUAGAAAACCCUUUUGCAAUUAUGUUUGCACAGCUGAAAACUGUUGUCCUGAUUAAAGAAGCAAUAAAACUGGCCGCCUUUAGACUAGUUGAGAAUCUGGAGCAUCAGCAUUUGUGGGUUUGAGUGUGUGGCGUGCUUGAACAGAGGCAUUUGUUGUUCUGUGGUCUGGCCCACAAUCAGAUUGAAUGCUCAAUAUUGACUUGUUGAGAGACACAUCAUCUUCACCGUAGUUCUAUUCACUGAGGAUGCUGAGAUUUUUCAACUAUGUCGAAGGGGGCUGGAUGGCUAGGAAACCUUGUCCUUGACAGUGAACUUUCCCAUCAUAGAAUGAACUAGAUGGAGAUGCUGGGAUCAACAUGACAGAUGGUACAAGUCCACUGAUGUGAUAAUCAUGGUCAGCAGCUGCUAGAACUUGCCCACUCACAGGAGCAAUGCUUGGAUGUUUGCCUCUGUUACAGGUCCCUAUAGGCUGGACAGGGAUGAUUGCCUUAUCAUCCACACAUAACAUUUCACUGUCCUUCUGCCACCAGCAGGCAAACUGUUUUAAUGUAGUUCCAAACUUUGAGUCUUGAUGUUCCUUUCUUAUCAUCCGUGACUGGACCAUGAACUUGAGGUCAAACCUUCCUGUGUACUGGAGCAGACAAAUUCUUAUUUUCAAUGACAGCCUAGGAACAGUGGGUUAACUGCCUUGUUCAGGGGCAGAAUGACCGAUUUUUACCUUGUCAGCUCGGGGAUUUGAUCUUGGAACCUUUCGGUUUUAUUUACUUAUUUUUUAUUUUACCAUUAUUUUACCAGGUAAGUUGACUGAGAACACGUUCUCAUUUGCAGCAACGACCUGGGGAAUAGUUACAGGGGAGAGGAGGGGGAUGAAUGAGCCAAUUGUAAACUGGGGAUUAUUAGGUGACCAUGAUGGUUACUAGUCCAAUGCUCUAACCACUAGGUUACCUGCCGCCUCAUGUCUGCAAUCAUUGACAUGAGCUGUGUAUUCGUUAAAAUACUUCUGUACUUCAUCCCAAAAGGGCUGAAAUUAGGAUUGUGGUUUGCCAUUCAGCUUCCUUAAAUCCAUGAUCAGGUCUGGGUCAUCAACAUCAAGGAGGAACAAGGAUACUCUCUUAUCAAGUAGGCCCUGUUCAUCAUCGUUUGCUUAACUCUUGUCAUCUGUCAGAAACUGAUACAUUUCUCUCGGGAAGUAGCUGUUCACUUUGCAGCGUGUGUGUAUUUGUUCAUGAAUGUUUUUUGCAUUGCUCUAGUGUGGGGUAUGUUGGUAUUUCUUUUCUCAGUGUGGAGAUGACAGAAGCUUGCCUGGUCUCAUGAACACCAUUGCUAUGUGAGGAUACCUUCCAUAUGAAUGUCAGAGUGCCUAGGUGGUUACCACAGGCAUACUUGUAUACAGUGAAAGUCAAUGGAAGUUUCAAGUUGUCAAUCCAUUUCCUUGGGAAUCUAUCUUCAGCAGCAAAGUCCAGUAGAAAGAGGGGGCUGUAAUUGGGGCACUUUAUCCAAAGCUUGUAACAGAGUGCUGUACUGGGGGCUGACCGGUCCACAUGAUGCUCACAGUGUAGCAUAAAACAUCAGACUCUGGUGUACGUAGGGGAGUGGGCUGUUGGUGACGUCUGGUCAUUGCUUGAUUCACCUUCUCCCAGUGGGAUGCUUCAGCUACUAUGGACUCUGUUAGACGCAGCACAUCUUCUCUGAGAUCUAAUGUGAACAAGGAAUACAGGCAGUUUAGGUUGAGAGGUUUAAAACAUAAAGCUUGCACGUUUUACAUUCCCUGAAUAAAUGGUGACAUUUUACAAUACCAGACACUGUGUUUGACAUGAAUCUACAAGGGGUAGUAGUGCGCCACAAACUUAAUUGAUAUAGAAAAAUGACACAAUACAUUCAUUAAAAUACCUGUGAAGUGAUUCCAUUGUGUCCAGGGCUGAGAUAUUGAAAUAGACAGCUGACUGCAAUGAAGCUGAUUCUGACUUAGUUUUGGUGCCUUGUGUCGUGUUUCCUGGUACCUGUUGGUGGAUCCAAGGCCUUGUGUUUAAUUGCAGGAAUCUGUCUGGUAUGGCUAAGCCUCCCUCUUUAAACUUCUCUAGAUGGAGGUCCAUAUACCAGAGUGCUUUUGAUAAUCGGGUAACGGAUGUCCAGGCUAUAUGGACAUGAAAAAUAGGAGAAAUAUUAUAUUUCAUCCUGAUUAUCAGAUUAUUAAAAAAUCAAUUAACAAUAAUGAACAUUGUUCACAUAGGAUAUAUAAUAGAAUGAUAUAUUCAAAAAUGAUUGGGAAAUAGCCUAACAAGGCAUUAACAAAUGAAGACAAUACAAAUAUAAAGGCCUUUCAUAGACUACCCUUUCUAGGAAAAAAUAUGCCAUUAAUAAAGGGCAAUCAUUUGAAUUGGGUCAAAUUAAUGGAAAAAGUGCAAGCCAAUCUCGUAAUUUAAUGUGAUGUAUAGGGAAAUAGAGUAGACAAAAAAAAUUUAAUUCAAGAAUGAUGGACAAUAAAUAAUUGUAAUCAGAUUAAAAUGUUGAUGUAUAAUAAUGUGUUCAUUACCUGACUGCAUCUCUAUAGCCUAGGCGUUAACAAAAUAUUAAUUCAAAUAUGAUUAGGCCUCUCAUAGACUAUGCCUUGUAGAAAGAGAGUCAAUCAAGUUAGGUCUGCCAAAUUAAUGUAGCAUUGGCAAAAAUACAUGAAUCCAGCCAUAGAGUAUAGCCUAUCAUCACCAAAUGUUUGUUUUUGUUUUUAACGUGCACAAUUAGAAGCAUCAAAUCUAUAGAGCAAGUUUGAGCCCUGUAACUUUGCUCACCACAUCCUCCUUUGAUUGUCUCGUCUGGCUGCCACGAAAAGCCCCCACCUUGGAGAGACAGUCGAUCACAUCAUUGUGGAGCUGCUGAUCGGCACGAAGUGUGUGUGUGCGAUGUACUUCGCUGGACAUGUUCUCGGCGGCGCAUUAUCACUUCAAAAGCAUUCCGUCUUGGUGUUAUCGGUUGGCCUGCUACUACUGGUAGUACCGGUAAAAUAUAAGUUAUGAAUCGAAAAUCGCCAUACAGCUGAAACACUUUGAUUUCAUCAAUCAUUUUGGCUUUAAUUUGGUUGUCCAAAAUAUUUGAGAUUCUUUAAAGUAGCCACCCUAUGCCUUGAUGACAGCUUUGCACACUUAGCAUUAUCUCAACCAGCUUCAUGAGGUAGUCACCUGGAAUGGAUUUAAAUUAACAGGUGUGCCUUGUUAAAAGUUAAUUUGUAGAAUUUCUUUCCUUCUUAAUGUGUUUGAGCCAAUCAUUUGGGUUGUGACAAGGUAGGGGUGGUAUACAGAAGAUAUUUGGUAAAAGACCAAAUCCAUAUUAUGGCAAGAACAGCUCAAAUAAGCAAAGAGAAACGACAGUCCAUCAUUACUUUAAGACAAGAAGGUCAGUCAAUCCAGGAAAAUUUCAAGAACUUAAAGUUUCUUCAUGUGCUGUCACGCCCUGAUCUGUUUUUCACCUGUCCUUGUGCUUGUCUCCACCCCACUCCAGGUGUCUCCCAUCUUCCCCAUUAUCCCCUGGGUACUUAUACCUGUGUUCUCUUAUACCAGCGUUUUGUCUCAGCUCCUGCUUUUCCCUAGUCUCUUUUUCUCACCCUCCUGGUUUUGACCCUUGCCCGUCCUGACUCUGAACCCACCUGCCUGACCACUCUGCCUGACCCUGAGCCUGCCUGCUGUCCUGUACCUUUGCCCCACUACUCUGGAUUAUCGACCCCUGCCUGCCUUGACCUGUCGUUUGCCUGCCUCUGUUGCUGUAAUAAACAUUGUUACUUCAA